Molecule: unclassified non-coding RNA, 352 nt
Filed under: soil metagenome
Description: partial contains 5.8S ribosomal RNA, internal transcribed spacer 2, and large subunit ribosomal RNA
Rfam family: 5.8S ribosomal RNA (bases 1-120)
Source: RNAcentral
GAUGAAGAACGUAGCGAAAUGCGAUAAGUAAUGUGAAUUGCAGAAUUCCGUGAAUCAUCGAAUCUUUGAACGCACAUUGCGCCCGCCAGUAUUCUGGCGGGCAUGCCUGUUCGAGCGUCAUUACAACCCUCAGGCCCCCGGGCCUGGCGUUGGGGAUCGGCGGAGCCCCCCGUGGGCACACGCCGUCCCCCAAAUGCAGUGGCGGUCCCGCCGCAGCUUCCAUCGCGUAGUAGCUAACACCUCGCGACUGGAGAGCGGCGCGGCCACGCCGUAAAACACCCAACUCUUCUGAAGUUGACCUCGAAUCAGGUAGGAAUACCCGCUGAACUUAAGCAUAUCAAUAAGCGGAGGA